Molecule: ribosomal RNA, 253 nt
Filed under: uncultured bacterium
Lineage: Bacteria
Description: partial 16S ribosomal RNA
Rfam family: Bacterial small subunit ribosomal RNA
Source: RNAcentral
UACGGGGGGGGCAAGCGUUGUUCGGAAUUACUGGGCGUAAAGGGCGCGUAGGCGGUUUGUACAGUCAGACGUGAAAUUCCUGGGCUCAACCUGGGGGCUGCGUUUGAUACGUGCAGACUUGAGUUCGGAAGAGGGUCGUGGAAUUCCCAGUGUAGAGGUGAAAUUCGUAGAUAUUGGGAAGAACACCGGUGGCGAAGGCGGCGACCUGGUCCGAUACUGACGCUGAGGCGCGAAAGCGUGGGGAGCAAACAGG